UCGUCCUUCACUAAACUCUGGUCAACAGAAGACUUUGGUUCCAUGCUACGUUCUGUAUUUUCUGAAGAUGUAGGUGGCGAGGCCAGUAUGUACUUUCCAUUACCGAGAAGGAAGCGGUGUGCUGGACCUUUACAUACGUCAUCAAGAUUCAGCAUUUCUGUGCACCUGCAUACGCAAUUAGGCCUGGAGUCAUGCAUUGGCCAAGCUAGCAGAUUGUAAAUGGCAUCUUUAACACCCUGGCUUACAGCAACACAGCCCACACAAUGCAAAUGGAAAGAAGCUGGCAGGUAUCCAAGAGUGCCAACGGCAUCAUCAACAAAUUAUGGGUCCAAAAAGCUCAGUUAUAUGAUAAGUGUGAGGGUGCAACGCAAACACAGCUGCUUCAUAUUGUGCAACAGGCUCACUGGGGCAGUCAGAAUAUGGACGAUGGAAAAACAAACAGAAGAAAUACAACUUUAAAACAUUAAAAGAACUUCAGCUCAUUUCCACCCAUGAAUUUGCAUAUGGUGAGUACAACAAGUUAUCCAUGAAUGGGAGUGUGCCACACAUUAAGAGAGCAGCCACGUGCAAGUUGUGUCCUCUACUUUUCAACCUUAGCUCCUUUGGCCUGGCCAAAAUAAAACAAUCAGAAUUAUCAAUAGCCCUCAAAAUAGAGUUGUGCACUUACGACAGGAUCUGUUAAAUUACUUGA
Hypanus sabinus (Atlantic stingray) is the source of this 691-nucleotide long non-coding RNA. RefSeq lists it as uncharacterized. The record is from RefSeq and is a predicted model, not a curated record. NCBI's taxonomy places the organism in Eukaryota, Metazoa, Chordata, Chondrichthyes, Myliobatiformes, Dasyatidae. The transcript is spliced from 3 exons.